GAAAAAAGUAGUAUCCCAGUAUAAUUGGCAAACGCAUAAAUACAAUUUCAUCAAAGAAUAAAAAAUAGAACUAUUAAGGAAACAGUAAAAAUGUUUGUGGUUGCUAGUAAUCAUAGAAUGUAAAUUAAGACAAAAUAACUUAUUUUUACAUUCAAAUUAAUUAAAGGAUAUGAUCUCGAAAAUGUCAUGAAAAUGGUGCUUUUAUAUCUUGCAGGUGGGAAGACAAAUUGAUGCAACCCUCUUGAAAAGCAAUCUGGCAAUAUGAACCAAGAGCCAUGAAAAGGCUUAUGCUAUUAUAAUUAGUAAGUCAAUUUAUAGAAAUUUGUUUUUUAAAAGUAAAGUAAAAUAAGAGAAAACCCUUGUUGGGAAAGAUGUUCAUUGCAAUAUUGCCUACAACAGGAAAAAUAUUGGAAGAAAAAAAUCUAACAAAUUGAUAAAAUCAUAUUAGGUAAAUUAGGGUGGACCUCUGUGGUAGAAAAUUAUGCAACUGAUAGAAAUGAUAAUAAUAAAAAUCACAUAGCAACAUAGAAAUGCCUUAAUUAGAAUCUUAAGUGGAAAAUGAGCAUAUGAAAUAGAAUGCAGGCUAUUGUCAUUACAUACAAUUAUGUAGAGAAGACUGAAAGGAAACAUUUCAAAGGUUUGUAAGUUAUUUAAAGAUAGUGGGAUUACAGUAUUUUUUUUUUUUACUUUCCAUAUAUAUUCUUCAAUGUUGUUAUAAUGAUUUAACAAUGAAAAUGUAAUUGAUAGUGUAUUAUUGCUAUUUCCUUAAUUCCAGAAUGGCUGUAAUGUUGGCUGUAAAUAUGAAAUUUUCUUUCACACACCAGUAUUUUCAAGAAUGGCAUAUUCACAUGCAGUAUGUGAUGAAAGAAGCAGUAGAGGAUGUUAACAAAGCUAUUUCUUUGGACAAUCUGAACCUGAACUCCUGAGUGUGCUCAAGAGUGAAUUGCUUUGGAAUGGGAGGAAUUCAAGCCCAGCUUCCCUGAAGACUGCCACUGGGGAGCAGCAGAUUUCACACAGCGGAAAGCCUUUGAACUUCUUGCAGGAAAGAUAGUAUAUCUCAGUUAAGAGAUAUAUGUUUGGAGAAAAUCAUAGUCCUUGCUUUUUCCCAUGCAGAUGGAUUUUUAUCUGAAUACUGAUGUGUUUGUCACCAAACAGAAAAUAAACCAUGAGACACUUAACUAAAAGACAAAAGUUUGAAAGGAAAUAAGCUUCACAAUUACUCAAGAUGGAAUCCAUUCUACAAUUUUUUUUCCUACAACAUCUGUUUUACAUUUCCCGAUUAGCAAUACUUUCAUGAGAAUUUAGCAGAUGAAAUGAAAGUAUAUAGAAUUAGUCCAUUUUCACACUGCUGAUAGAGACAUACCUGAAACUGGACAAUUUACAAAAGAAAGAGAUUUAAUUGGACUCAUAGUUCCACAUGGCUGGGGAGGCCUCAAUCAUGGUGGAAGGUAAGGAGGAACAAGUCACAUCUUACGUGGAUGGCAGCAGGCAAAAAGGGCUUGUGCAGGGAAAUUCCCAUUUUUAAAACCAUCAGAUCUUGUGAGACUCCUUCACUAUCAUGAGAACAGCACAGGAAAGACCCACUCCUAUGAUUCAGUCAUCUCCCACUGGGUCCCUCCACAACACGUGGGAAUUAUGGGAGCUACAAGAUGAGAUUUGGGUGGGGACCCAGAGCCAAACCAUAUCAUAUAUGUAGAUAUGAAGAUAAAUAUUCUGG
Pan paniscus (pygmy chimpanzee) is the source of this 1717-nucleotide long non-coding RNA. The record is from Ensembl. Lineage: Eukaryota; Metazoa; Chordata; Mammalia; Primates; Hominidae.